RNAcentral lists this ribosomal RNA (253 nucleotides) under uncultured bacterium. Its description in RNAcentral is "partial 16S ribosomal RNA". It matches the Rfam family "Bacterial small subunit ribosomal RNA", at positions 524 to 776 of the family's 1533-position model. The record is from RNAcentral.
GACGAACCGUGCGAACGUUGUUCGGAAUCACUGGGCUUAAAGGGCGCGUAGGCGGGCUGCCAAGUCCGGGGUGAAAUCUUUCGGCUUAACCGGAAAAGUGCCUUGGAUACUGGCAGUCUAGAGGGAGGUAGGGGCAUGUGGAACUUCCGGUGGAGCGGUGAAAUGCGUUGAUAUCGGAAGGAACGCCGGUGGCGAAAGCGACGUGCUGGAUCUCUUCUGACGCUGAGGCGCGAAAGCCAGGGGAGCGAACGGG